UUUGGUAAUUAUCACUUAGAGGAAAUAACCAUUCUCAUUUUCAACAGGUAGAUUAAAUUCUAAUGUGCUGAUGGUAGUGUAGAGAUUCCUCUGUGGAAGAAUAAGUUAUUACCAGAC
This 117-nucleotide ribosomal RNA is filed under the name Clostridium pasteurianum BC1. Lineage: Bacteria; Bacillati; Bacillota; Clostridia; Eubacteriales; Clostridiaceae. The record is from RNAcentral.